RNAcentral lists this long non-coding RNA (1270 nucleotides) under Salmo salar (Atlantic salmon). RNAcentral's name for it is "lncRNA (ENSSSAG00000099357.1)". Lineage: Eukaryota; Metazoa; Chordata; Actinopteri; Salmoniformes; Salmonidae. The record is from RNAcentral.
CGUGUAGGGCUCUGUACUGUAAGAUGUAAUGUAGGGCUCUGUACUGUAAGAUGUAGUCUAGGGCUCUGUACUGGAAGAUGUAGUGUAGGGCUCUGUACUGUUAGAUGUAGUCUAGGGCUAUGUACUGGAAGAUGUAGUCUAGGGCUCUGUACUGUUAGAUGUAGUGUAGGGCUCUGUACUGGAAGCUGUAGUGUAGGGCUCUGUACUGGAAGCUGUAGUGUAGGGCUCUGUACUGUAAGAUGUAAUGUAGGGCUCUGUACUCUAAGAUGUAGUGUAGGGCUCUGUACUGGAAGCUGUAGUGUAGGGCUCUGUGCUGUAAGAUGUAGUAUAGGGCUCUGUAGUGUAGGGCUCUGUACUGGAAGCUGUAGUCGUUGGCUCUGUACUGUAAGAUGUAGUCUAGGGCUCUGUACUGUAAGAUGUAGUGUAGGGCUCAGUACUGUAAGAUGUAGUGUAGGGCUCUGUGAUGUAAGAUGUAGUCUAGCGCUCUGUAGUGUAGGGCUCUGUACUGGAAGCUGUAGUCGUUGGCUCUGUACUGUAAGAUGUAGUCUAGGGCUCUGUACUGUAAGAUGUAGUGUAGGGCUCAGUACUGUAAGAUGUAGUGUAGGGCUCUGUACUGUACGAUGUAGUCUAGGGCUCUGUACUGUAAGAUGUAGUCUAGGGCUCUGUACUGUAAGAUGUAGUCUAGGGCUCUGUACAGUUAGAUGUAGUGUAGGGCUCUGUACUGGAAGCUGUAGUGUAGGGCUCUGUACUGUAAGAUGUAGUGUAGGGCUCUGUACUGUAAGAUGUAUUGUAGGGCGCUGUACUGGAAGCUGAAGUGUAGGGCUCUGUACUGUAAGAUGUAGUCUAGGGCUCUGUACUGUAAGAUGUAGUCUAGGGCUCUGUACUGGAAGCUCUAGUCUAGGGCUCUGUACUGUAAGAUGUGGUGUAGGGCUCUGUACUGGAAGCUGUAGUGUAGGGCUCUGUACUGUAAGAUGUAGUCUAGGGCUCUGUAGUGUAGGGCUCUGUACUGGAAGCUGUAGUGUAGGGCUCUGUACUGUAAGAUGUAGUGUAGGGCUAUGUAUUGUAAGAUAUAGUCUAGGGCUCUGUACUGGAAGCUGUAGUCGUUGGCUCUGUACUGUAAGAUGUAGUCUAGGGCUCUGUACUGUAAGAUGUAGUGUAGGGCUCAGUACUGUAAGAUGUAGUGUAGGGCUCUGUACUGUACGAUGUAGUGUAGGGCUCUGUACUGUAAGAUGUAGUCUAGGGCUCUGUACUGUAAGAUGUAGUCUAGGGC